Molecule: ribosomal RNA, 468 nt
Filed under: uncultured bacterium
Lineage: Bacteria
Description: partial 16S ribosomal RNA
Rfam family: Bacterial small subunit ribosomal RNA
Source: RNAcentral
GACGAACGCUGGCGGCGUGCUUAACACAUGCAAGUCGAACGGAAAGGCCCUGCUUUUGUGGUGUGCUCGAGUGGCGAACGGGUGAGUAACACGUGAGUAACCUGCCCUUGACUUUGGGAUAACUUCAGGAAACUGGGGCUAAUACCGGAUAUGAUCUCCUGCUGCAUGGUGGGGGUUGGAAAGUUCCGGCGGUUGGGGAUGGACUCGCGGCUUAUCAGCUUGUUUGUGGGGUAGUGGCUUACCAAGGCUUUGACGGGUAGCCGGCCUGAGAGGGUGACCGGCCACAUUGGGACUGAGAUACGGCACAGACUCAUACGGGAGGCAGCAGUGGGGAAUAUUGCACAAUGGGCGGAAGCCUGAUGCAGCGACGCCGCGUGGGGGAUGACGGCAUUCGGGUUGUAAAGCGAUUUCGCAUGUGACGAAGAGUGAGUGACGGUAAUGGGUAAAGAAGCACCGGCUAACUACGUG